UAGGGAAUCUUCGGCAAUGGACGAAAGUCUGACCGAGCAACGCCGCGUGAGUGAAGAAGGUUUUCGGAUCGUAAAACUCUGUUGUUAGAGAAGAACAAGGACGUUAGUAACUGAACGUCCCCUGACGGUAUCUAACCAGAAAGCCACGGCUAACUACGUGCCAGCAGCCGCGGUAAUACGUAGGUGGCAAGCGUUGUCCGGUUUUAUUGGGCGUAAAGCGAGCGCAGGCGGUUUCUUAAGUCUGAUGUGAAAGCCCCCGGCUCAACCGGGGAGGGUCAUUGGAAACUGGGAGACUAGAGUGCAGAAGAGGAGAGUGGAAUUCCAGGUGUAGCGGUGAAAUGCGUAGAUAUAUGGAGGAACACCAGUGGCGAAGGCGGCUCUCUGGUCUGUAACUGACGCUGAGGCUCGAAAGCGUGGGGAGCAAACAGG
Molecule: ribosomal RNA, 429 nt
Filed under: Gemmatimonadota bacterium
Lineage: Bacteria; Pseudomonadati; Gemmatimonadota
Description: Gemmatimonadetes bacterium partial 16S ribosomal RNA
Rfam family: Bacterial small subunit ribosomal RNA
Source: RNAcentral